Long non-coding RNA from Mus musculus (house mouse), 6125 nucleotides. RefSeq annotates it as predicted gene, 36590. The transcript has 3 exons. The record is from RefSeq and is a predicted model, not a curated record. Lineage: Eukaryota; Metazoa; Chordata; Mammalia; Rodentia; Muridae.
CUGGGCAGUGCCUCCUGGUUGGACUGUGGGGGACGCUGUAAAUCAGUGGCUCCCGUGGCCUCUGUCCUGAAAGGCCACACUGUGGAUGGUCUCGCAAGCCAAUGUGAAAGAUCUCCAGCUCUGAGAUAGGGCUCUUCUGGAGUAGGGGCUGAGGGAGGAGAGCAAGGGCCAGUGAAGGGAGUGAGGUGGAGAGAGGGAGAGAAGAGAAAGCAAAAGGAAUCAGCCAAAGAAUGUGGGAGCUCAAAGACUGGCAACCUAGCCGGGUGAAGAUCAGAGCCAAGGCUGGAGUAACAACCUGUGACACACUCGACUGUUACCUGAAGCACAGCGAGAGAGAUCUAAAUUAAACGUCAGCUCCUGGCUGAGCCUCUGACAUGCUGUGGCAGGACAGAAGUGGCUUUGCGGUCUGAGCUUGCCUAAGAAACACCUUCCGGAGUAACUGAGCCGGGGUUGGGGGGAGGGCAGCUCUGAAGCUCUGUGAGAAGCAAUUCCAGCCUCAGAACAGGGGUGGCAAGGGCCAUAAAAUCCUUAAACAUAAUAGCUCUGAGAGGGGGUUAGAGAACUAGGGCCUAUUCCCAAACCCUGAUCAAGGAUUCAGUUCCAGGAAGCUGGGUGAAAGACCGCAGCUUCUGAACGGGCCCACAGUGAUGCCUAGGAUCAGCAGGCUCUCUAAAGUACAAGUUGCUAGGAAACCCGUCUUCCAUCAUGUUUUUGUCCCAUGAACUGGAACCAGAGGAAAUGGCCUCCACACUUUGGGCCCAGAGAGCCUCCAGUCAGAGGUCACACCUGAAGACCAACAUCUCGCUUGGAAGAGCACAUGCAGGAGCCGGUGAAUGAGGGAAACAAAAUAAAAGCUCUUCCCCACCCACUUAGAAAGCAGCGGCUUUUACAGUUUAUUCUCGCAAUAAAACGGAGCAGUGGCUUCUUCCUCCCAAGGCAUUCUUCCCCAGAAUCCCAAGGAACAGACCGACAAUACGCUGCCUACACCAACAGUGCAGAACUCAGGCCUCUGUUCCCUCAGCCUCAUGCCAGGCCACCAGCCUCCAUCUCUCUGCAUCACAGAGAGGCCACCGCAGGCACUGCCCUGUCCUGGGCCCUAAGACACUGAGCUUACUUAGCUUGGAAAUCCUGUGGUCAAACGUCUCCCCAUCUUCUCAUCACUUGGGAAAAGGACAUGUUCCCCACCCCCACCCCCAGGAGCCAUUCUACCUCACAUUUGCAUUGAUGAUGUCAUUAACAGCUUGGCCUCCUUGACUCUUCCUGCAUUCAAGGAUCCAGUCUACAGAAGACUUCUCUAAGAUGGGACUCCCAUCCUGCCAUGAUCUAGACUCUUCUGCUCAGGAAACUCAUAUUGAUCCUCCAGCAGCCAGCCCAGCUCCUGCCCCAAGGUAAGAAAGCAUCUCUGUGUCCUGCAUCUGACCCAGCUACCUAUACAAACAGGUCAGCUCCCUUCGUCUCUACGUGCCUAGCCAGCUUCUGCCCCAAGCAUGCCUGUGAUGGCUCUCAGCACAGGGAUUUUUCUCAAAAGAUAAAUUCUUACAGAAGGUCAUAAUCCCAAAUUUGGAUGUGUUACCUCAAAAUAGGUGGUGAAAUCUCAUCUAAGUAGACAGGUGUGUAGCUAUUUACCAGCUAAGCGGCCCUAAUCCAAAAAUCCAAAAUCCUAUCAGAAACCUUUUGAGCACUGGCAUGAUGCUCAAAACACUUGAGACCUGGGAUUUAAGAUAUAGUGAUUAUUAGGAAUUUUCAGCUACCAAUGUCCAUGAAAACAGUUCAAAUCCUCACCUCCACCCCCACCAGGAAACACUUCCUGUCCCAAGCAUUUCAUUCAAGGGAUAUUCAACCUGUAGAGUGUGUGACUAUUAAAUAUAUUUGCUUGCACAUGGAGAUAUUCUUCAGUGUCUGGCAUAUGCACCAUGUGCACUUUCUAUAGUCUCAAAAGUUCUGAGUUCUAAACAUAUCAGACCUCAGGAGCUUGGGGUCCUGAGCCUGCCAUUCUGAGUUCUUCAGACCCACAUCCAUUUAUCCAUUGACUUCACUGCGUUCUAAACCCUUGAGGGCACGGGGACAUUUGUUCAGACCUGGCAGAAAGCAGGUGCUUACCAGAUGCUUGUUCUAUUGAACCAAGGUGGUCCAAGAUGAGUCCAGAGAAAUAGGAUGGUCCUCCUAUCAUAGGACAGCAUAGCUUGGGAAUCCCUGAGACGGAUGGGAAACAGCCAUAAAAAACCUUAUCUCUAGAACUCAUCUCUGGGCCUGGAUCCCACGGGCCAAAGCCACCAGAGUGAGACCACUGAGAAGUGGCUGGGAGGGGCAGCAAGGAAGUGAACGAGAUGCGCCUAACUCUGUUUCUAGGGGAACAGGGGAGUGAGGAUACAGAAAGAUGUACAUGUCAUGGUCAGGACAACUGUUUUCCUGGCAGCAGAGGAACCAGAAAGCAAUUGUUAGACCAUGCCGUAGAGGAGCAUCUACGACAUCCAUCUGGGGAGCUGGGCCCAGGCACAUAGGAGCAGUGUAGGAUGGAGAGGGCUCAUAGUCACAAACCACUGCAGAAGAAACACCACCAUUCCCUGGGGCUUCCCACAUGCCAGGCAUCAAGCUUGCAGGCACACCGCCACUGAGAGGGAGGCAGGAGUCUAAGCUUCGCAAAAAUAGGUAAAAGUUGCUGAGAGCUCACACCAGGUCGUGCGCUACUCCGAGUGUGUUAAAUACUCCCACCCCAUCCCCACUGACCUCAGGAAGGGACAGUGCUAGGCAUGCCCACCUGUUUCCAGAGAAUUCUGAUUCUUCUCCCAUAAGGACUUAGAGAAAUAAGGCCUGAGCUGAAGAUGUGGUAGAACCAAGGUUAGAAUUCUGGAGCAUACAGGUGACCCCAGCCCUGAAUGGGAGUGUUGGUCUCUACUGACCUUCAUAUCUGACCAUCAACUGUGCCCUCUGUAGACUCUGUAAAACACACGUGUUCAUCAGCCAUUUUGCUCCACUGUAUCCCCUGUCCAGGCUCAAGUCUUUGCUCCGUAUACUGGGGUGCUCUCUGACAACACCUCUAGAAGUCACCUAAGAAUUAUGUCACUUUGAAAAAUGUGUAGUCCUCGAAAACACCAGGAGCCUCAGUUACUUAAGAGGACAGGAGCAGACUGCUCCUGAGCUCUGCCAUUCUGUGUGAUUCUGACUCCACGCUGUGCACCCGACAAGUAAGGGGUGACCUUUGAGAGCAGAGCAAAGGAUGCUUGCUGAAUGACUCCUCACAAUCUGCAUGCCUUUCUAGCUUCUCUUUACCCUGGCAGAGUGUGUGUGUGUGUGUGUGUGUGUGUGUGUGUGUUACCCACGCAUGCUCAUGGAGGCCUGAAGCCAACCUUAGGUCUUGUUUCUCAGACUCAGUCCAUCUCGGUCUGUUUUGAGACAAUGUCUCUUGCUGGGCUAGAACUCCUAAGUAGUAGUCCAGGCUGACUGGCCACUGAGCUUAGGGAUCUAUUCACCUCCACCUCCCAAGCACUGGGAUUUACAGAGAUAGCCUGCAUUCUACCACUGAGCUGUCAUUCCAGAGGCUUUGGACUGAUCUUAAGGGAACCUUAAAUCCCUGGAGGUCAUGACCCCAAGCCUUCAAGAAUCCUGGAAUCCCAGGAAGAGUGGACUUGCAGAUGGAGUCAGAACAUAUCAGACACACGUCCUGUGCCAGGAACGCUGGAGCCUGCCUCGGUCUUGGUUCCCUAAUGUGCCUUCUGGAUAUCAAAGGGAGACAGUGUGGUCAGUGGACGGUAUGCUUGCCUCGCAGAAACAAGCAGAGGUGAGGGGUUGACAGGAAGGUCCCUGCUUCUAGCUCUACAGUAAAUUAAGCUUCAAAUUGGCUCUGGCUACAUCGUGCCAGCGCCUGUGGAUAUUUGAGUGGCAAGGGGGAGGUGCUCAGUUAAACCUGAUACAUUCGCCGCAGGAGACAGAGCGAUCUAUGGAGCAGAGGGCAUCAAAAUUGGAUCCUUUUAGGGGCUCCUUGCAAACGGAAGCCUGUGAUGGAGAGAUGGCGAUAAGAUGCCGAGGGAAGCCGGAAGGGCUGAGAGGGCUCAGGGGCAGGGAGGAGGUAGCCUAAUGGGUCUUGUCUAUUCCUUUCACUUCAGAUCUGUGAGCUGUGCAGGGGGAGUUAGCAAAUCAAAUAUCUGGAAGCCUGAGGCAACAGUGGUAAAGGGCAGAGGUGGGGGGAGUCCCAUGAGUGUUGGGGGAAGCUUUGUAAGUGACCCCCACUUUAAAACUGCUGUAUGAAAACCUGCCUAUGUGAACCAGGCAGAAUGGGGGUUGAUUUUUUUUUCUCCUCGUAUCUUCCCAGCUUCCAGGUUGGCUGUUAAUUAAUGCCCUGUGUGAUACUUUGCAUCUCUAAGACUUGUGCUAGGCGAACAGGUGAUGCUAGCAUCUUCAUCUUCCUUACACUCCCUCAUCUUUGAUUCUUAAAAUAACCUCCACUUCCCUGGACUGGCUGGCCCACCCUGAGUGUGAUUCAUUAAGUGUGCAAUGUACAGAGCUUUUUGAAAAGCACCCAUUACUUCAGUAAGACCAAAUAGCCCUGUUGAAUUGCUAAAGUCCCAACUUCAAUCACAGCCUUGACUUUGCCCAACCAAAUACAUCACUUGCAGUCUCUUUCAUCUCCUUGAAGCACGGUCCCCGGCCGCAGGGUGAUAGGUGAGGGGUCGGGGGGAGUCAUCCAAGGCCCUGGAUCCAUGCAAAUGUCUUCAAUUAGCAAUGAAAAUCAAACCUGGACCACUAGCCCGGGGAAAUCUCAGACUGUGGUACGGACCAGCUUCUGGCACGGGAUGACCCACUACAACUUUCAAAGGCUCAAAGCUGUCAGGCGCAUCAAAUGCAGGAAACUGGAGAGAGAAUGUGAAUGUCCAAUUAUGAAGGAUGUUGACAUUAAGCAAGUCACCGGAGAAGAGCCUGGGAGAGAGUGGAGCCAGCCCUCGGGGAGGGCUGAGCUUUGAAACUGGAUAGAAGAGGUGAUGGGGAGGCUGGGGGCGGAAGAAGCAUGCACAGCUGAGACAGGAGCAAAGAUAAUCAAACAACCAAAACUAUAGUUUGCCGAACACCCAUGUCACCCUACAUGUUGCAUGUGUCACUUACACUAUUGCACAGGCCACUCUGAUGAGAUAACACGACGACGGUAACUAUCACGUGACACAUCAGCAAACCCGAAGCAUAAAAAUGGCUAAACAGCCUUUCCAUGCCACACAGGUAGCGCUCUGCUCAAUCCAGUUCCCAAACCCACAAUCCUGCCAUACCACUUAGACCUCUUCCUAAGUAGGGAUCAGAGUGGCCUCCUCCACCCAAGGAUUCUGUUCCGGAUCUACUUAUCUUUUUCCAGUUUGCCAUGGACACUGAAGAGACUGCUCACCCUGCCUUAGCUCACUGCAUGAACACACCAUCCACCUGUUCCCUUCCCUGAACAUAGAAGAACUAGGCGUGGCCUUUCAAAGAACUAUCUAGGUGGUGUUUAAAACCUAUGGUGGCGGUACACUCUGACUCCAGAUGAAAGACACUUGGGGGUAGAAAACUCCAGAAGCCAUCUGAAGCUUGCCUCAAACACACUGAUAUAAAAGCUGAACCGAAGGCCACUUGCUAAUAAAAUACUCGGUGCCUAAAAGGACAUUAAAAAGAUGUCCAAAGCCCUGCAAAGAAGAAUAAAGAUAUCAAUUUCCUUUAGUCCCUGAUUCAUCUGGCUUCAUAUUUUAGAUGCCUUGACUUUACCAAGGCAGGCUGCAUAGGUCACCGGGAGAGGACAUUUCUUCCCGCCACUAACGCCAUCCACAAUGGGCACAUACGCAUUGAGUCCCACUGGGGAGGCUCUGAAGAACUGAAGGGAAGGAGAGGGGAGUUGGUUUUCAAAGAGCUAUGAAGAAAUCCAGACCCUUGUCUGAUACCUAGGUGAAGAAACUCCACAGACCAGACUAGGAGACUCAUGAGAAGUUACUGGUAUUCUGAUUUUAUUUGGAAGAUCUUGAACAAUCUGUCUUCCUUUGUUGUCCUAGACAUUAAUCGUGACAUCUUCCCUGACAAAUUCUUGUUGGCUAGAAUCAGGUGCAAUAGGCGCUUGCUGAAUAUUUAUUUACUAAUUGAAUGAAUAAAUGAAUGUUUUCCUACUGGUCGCACCA